GCGCCUGUGGUGAAACUGGCAGACACGAUGGAUUUAGGUUCCAUUUCCGCGAGGAAUGCAGGUUCAAGUCCUGUCAGGCGCACCA
Molecule: transfer RNA, 85 nt
Filed under: Oscillospiraceae bacterium
Lineage: Bacteria; Bacillati; Bacillota; Clostridia; Eubacteriales; Oscillospiraceae
Description: tRNA-Leu
Rfam family: tRNA
About the family: Transfer RNA (tRNA) molecules are approximately 80 nucleotides in length. Their secondary structure includes four short double-helical elements and three loops (D, anti-codon, and T loops).
Source: RNAcentral